RNAcentral lists this ribosomal RNA (226 nucleotides) under Salmonella enterica. Its description in RNAcentral is "partial 16S ribosomal RNA". It matches the Rfam family "Bacterial small subunit ribosomal RNA", at positions 1 to 225 of the family's 1533-position model. Lineage: Bacteria; Pseudomonadati; Pseudomonadota; Gammaproteobacteria; Enterobacterales; Enterobacteriaceae. The record is from RNAcentral. RNAcentral also lists the same sequence under 4 other names.
AAAUUGAAGAGUUUGAUCAUGGCUCAGAUUGAACGCUGGCGGCAGGCCUAACACAUGCAAGUCGAACGGUAGCACAGAGAGCUUGCUCUCGGGUGACGAGUGGCGGACGGGUGAGUAAUGUCUGGGAAACUGCCUGAUGGAGGGGGAUAACUACUGGAAACGGUGGCUAAUACCGCAUAACGUCGCAAGACCAAAGAGGGGGACCUUCGGGCCUCUUGCCAUCAGA